RNAcentral lists this ribosomal RNA (546 nucleotides) under uncultured bacterium. Its description in RNAcentral is "bacterial SSU rRNA". It matches the Rfam family "Bacterial small subunit ribosomal RNA", at positions 356 to 896 of the family's 1533-position model. The record is from RNAcentral.
GGGGAAUAUUGCGCAAUGGGGGCAACCCUGACGCAGCCAUGCCGCGUGAAUGAAGAAGGCCUUCGGGUUGUAAAGUUCUUUCGGUAGCGAGGAAGGCAUUUAGUUUAAUAGACUAGAUGAUUGACGUUAACUACAGAAGAAGCACCGGCUAACUCCGUGCCAGCAGCCGCGGUAAUACGGAGGGUGCGAGCGUUAAUCGGAAUAACUGGGCGUAAAGGGCACGCAGGCGGACUUUUAAGUGAGGUGUGAAAGCCCCGGGCUUAACCUGGGAAUUGCAUUUCAGACUGGGAGUCUAGAGUACUUUAGGGAGGGGUAGAAUUCCACGUGUAGCGGUGAAAUGCGUAGAGAUGUGGAGGAAUACCGAAGGCGAAGGCAGCCCCUUGGGAAUGUACUGACGCUCAUGUGCGAAAGCGUGGGGAGCAAACAGGAUUAGAUACCCUGGUAGUCCACGCUGUAAACGCUGUCGAUUUGGGGAUUGGGCUUAAUGCUUGGUGCCCGUAGCUAACGUGAUAAAUCGACCGCCUGGGGAGUACGGCCGCAAGGUUA